This 249-nucleotide ribosomal RNA is filed under the name uncultured bacterium. RNAcentral describes it as "partial 16S ribosomal RNA". It matches the Rfam family "Bacterial small subunit ribosomal RNA", at positions 84 to 334 of the family's 1533-position model. The record is from RNAcentral.
CGUGAUGGCGACCGGCGCACGGGUGAGUAACACGUAUCCAGCCUGCCGAUAACUCGGGGAUAGCCUUUCGAAAGAAAGAUUAAUACCCGGUGGUAUAAUCAGACCGCAUGGUUUGAUUAUUAAAGAAUUUCGGUUAUCGAUGGGGAUGCGUUCCAUUAGGCAGUUGGUGAGGUAACGGCUCACCAAACCUUCGAUGGAUAGGGGUUCUGAGAGGAAGGUCCCCCACAUUGGAACUGAGACACGGUCCAA